GAGGAAUAGGGUGGUACAUGUCACAAGGGAUUAGAAUUCCAGAGCAGAUGCCCUAGCAGGGUUGGUAACGUUAAUAACCAUAAAAUAUACCAUAACCCUACCAAUUUAUUUUCAAUUAAAGCCAACUAUUUUGGAUGCAGAAUAGGUAUUAAGCACAGGGGUCUAAUAGGAGAUUUGAAUAGACUUAAUCUAGGAUUACUUGUUGAACGGA
Molecule: long non-coding RNA, 211 nt
Filed under: Vitis vinifera (wine grape)
Lineage: Eukaryota; Viridiplantae; Streptophyta; Magnoliopsida; Vitales; Vitaceae
Description: long non-coding RNA (VVIN_LNC005334)
Source: RNAcentral